GCCAUUGUGGUGUAAUGGUUUGAAUGUUGGUCUAGGACACUGGGAGACCAGGGUUCAAAUCCCGGCUUGGACA
Phrynosoma platyrhinos (Desert horned lizard) is the source of this 73-nucleotide non-coding RNA. The record is from the annotation of a GenBank genome assembly. Lineage: Eukaryota; Metazoa; Chordata; Lepidosauria; Squamata; Phrynosomatidae.